This 71-nucleotide transfer RNA is filed under the name Marmota monax (woodchuck). RNAcentral's name for it is "tRNA.Ala". Lineage: Eukaryota; Metazoa; Chordata; Mammalia; Rodentia; Sciuridae. The record is from RNAcentral.
GGGGUUGUGGCUCAGCAGUAGAGCGCUCACCUUGCACGUGCGAAGCCCUGGGUUCGAUCCUCAUCACCACA